CCAUCAGGCCCCAGUGUGUCUUGUAGAGCAUGCUGUUUUCCCGCAGAUUGUCUUAUCAGGGGUUGGCAAAGCUGCACCCUGGUAUAGCUCAUGGGAGGAGUCACCUCAACCGAACUGAACCCUUUAUGAGUUCCAAAAGAACCUUCUCAACAUCCAGUCAUUUAUUUAGCACCAGCAGGUCUUUGGAUAUGUAAUGUACUAAAAGGAAUUUGUGUCGGAAGGCGUGGUGUGACUUAACGGUUCGCUUAUACAUGACUAAAUGUUGAUUUUUUGCAGCAAAAGCCUCUCCUGAAUGUGUUCAACAGCCAACUAUGUUCUCCCUCUGAGGAGAACCUGUGAGGCAGCAGCUACGCCAGGCAGGCUGUGUGGAGGAGUGUCCAUGCAAACUAAUUUCCCUGGAGUCAGGUCUCAUGGAGCUCCUCAGGACACGGAGAUGGAUGUGGCCUGGCAGGAGCUGAUGGCCAUCACAGAGUUGCAGGUAACUAUAGCAGUUGAUACACUAGGUGCACUUCAUAGAGUUUCUAUUUUUUUUGCUGCAAAAUGUUACAUUACUGAUCUCAGCUACAAAUGUAUAUGCCUUAUCGCCACACUGCAUGCCUUACUAUCAUGGAGGUGCAUGUUCAAAUUUUUUUUUUCAACAAAUGCAUGGGUCAAUAUAUAAUUGGGGGACUUUUGAAGUCCAUGGGAUAUAAUUUGCAAACAUUUUUAUGAAAAGUAAAAAAAUAUAUAAUUUUUUUAUGUUCAUUAUGAUCAUGUCUUUACAAAUUCCAUAAUUAUUUAAUAUGGAAACAAUCAAUUAUUAAUAAAAAAUAACUGGAUAUCACUAAAUUGUUAACUAAAUAACCAUCCAAUCUUAAUAACAACCACCUUCAAAUUAGCUAAACAAUAAUAAAAUAAGCUUAUUCAAAAAUAGUUUUGAUUGUGUUCUUUUUAUUAAGUUGAGAUAAUCAUGACAGAUAUUUUUUUGAAAAUAUAUCAAAUUUUAUAUGGAAUAUAACAAAUUGUAUUUGUGUCCAAGUAAUCACUUUCAUUUAAGUUACCCAUUACAAAAACACCUCUCAAGGAAGUGUGUUAAUUCCAGAUCACAUGACCUGCUCCACAUGAUGUCAUUUCCUCCUGAAGAAAAGACUGGCCAGACUCCAAGGCUUUC
This is a long non-coding RNA of Amphiprion ocellaris (clown anemonefish), 1150 nucleotides long. RefSeq lists it as uncharacterized. The record is from RefSeq and is a predicted model, not a curated record. NCBI's taxonomy places the organism in Eukaryota, Metazoa, Chordata, Actinopteri, Pomacentridae. The transcript has 3 exons.